This 125-nucleotide ribosomal RNA is filed under the name Flavobacterium columnare. RNAcentral describes it as "partial 16S ribosomal RNA". It matches the Rfam family "Bacterial small subunit ribosomal RNA", at positions 1379 to 1512 of the family's 1533-position model. The record is from RNAcentral. Lineage: Bacteria; Pseudomonadati; Bacteroidota; Flavobacteriia; Flavobacteriales; Flavobacteriaceae.
UCUUGUACACCCCGCCCGUCAAGCCAUGGAAGCUGGGGGUACCUGAAGUCGGUGACCGCAAGGAGCUGCCUAGGGUAAAACUGGUAACUAGGGCUAAGUCGUAACAAGGUAGCCGUACCGGAAGG